CAGUGCCGUAUAGUGGAAAGCAAAAUGCUACGACGCUUGUGCGUACCGCUGCGUGUGGUGGCUGCAGGGUUGCGCCUUAACUCCUCCAGCUCUGGGCCGUCGAAGACGAAUGAUGGGGGCAUUCCCAACGCGACGGGCAUGGACAACGCGCCUGGGCUUUAUGCUGAGAAGCCUUCCAGUACCUACUGUGAGGAAAAGUACCCCAACAAGAUGGAAGAAGUGGGUUCUCUCAAGCCACCAACGUACGACGUGCCUCAUGGCCGAUCUGACAACAUCAAGACACCUGAGUUCAAUACAUCUUUAGGAAAGUUUGAUCAGGCUCCCUACUUCACCGGCGGCCCGCCGGCGAUGCGAUACCACGGCUACAAGCGGGACCCUGCUGGCGAGGGUGUAGACUACCGCGAUGUCCUGCCAAAAACGCCGAUUGAAGACCAUCACCCCCACAUGGAGUUCCUUUCAGUCACCGGACGCCGCGAAGGAAGCACGUUUCUACUGGCGAACGCUGGUGUGAACUGGGAGCUGAAGGCCGCUGCGAUGUCUCUCUACCGCACAAUCCUCAAGUCUUUGCCAAUGAUUAAGCACUACUACUGGCUGCUCGUUCCCCUUCCGGAGAUGAAGGACAAGAUUCGCCUCCGCUUUUUGCAGAACCAGCACACUAAAGACCCAGACGCGAUUCGACACUUGCUUCAUAACGGCUGGAUGGAGUUUCAGGAGUCUAUCAUGUUCCGUCGCCCCCGCGCGACCAUCGAAAAGUACUUUGAGCACGAGAGCAUGGAUGAACUGAGCAAGCAGUACACCAAGGAGGAAGGCCUGAUGAGUAGUGAACGCGAGUUCUGGAACGGCGAGGAGCAGCGCCGCGAAGGCCCGCACAACGGUCAUUGGUCGUGGCUUGGUGAGCAGUGCGAGAAAGAGUUUACCAAGAUUGCGGGCCGCAUCCCGAUUUCCUGGACAGCCUCGAGGGGCUACUUUGAGAAGGGGCAAGCCGACGGCACGAACUACUGGGAGAAGAAUCUUGACUACGAAGGCUGGUACAUCAAGAACGUCGACCCUGACCGCCAGAAUGCGCGGCGCGAGAUGCAGGGGUGGGUUGAGAGCGGCUACAACCAGCCGAAGCACUACGCCAGCAAGAACCGUCGCGGUUACCGCCGCAUGGUGAAGGAUAUUGAGACGCUCAUGGAGACCUCCAUGGAGGAUCUGUAUACACACAACCGCGAGCAGCUAUUUCAAUACCUGAUCCGCGAGAGCAGCCCCGAAUCCAAUCGCAUCAACGCGGAGCGCACGCUGGCGUACCAGGACGACGACUUCUACUCUACUCGCUUUGAGGAGUACGAGAAGUGCCUGAAGCAGGCCAUGCGCGAGAUGCCGAACCCGCGCCUAUGGAAGACCGACGCCUUCUACUUCCGUCUGCGUUACCUGCUGGCCCCUUUGGAAUACAACUGGGCCAAGCUACCCGUCGGUGCGACUCAAGAGAAGCUCUUCAACGAGUGGAUCUCGGACAACUGCAACUACGCCAUCUACACGAGUGACGUCUUCACUCAGAUCAAGGCGGACAAGACGCGUAACCCCAUGGCCAAGACUUGGGCUGACUUCUACACGGAGUUCGAUCCCGACGUGCCGGAGACGCGCAAUCUCCCGUGGUAUCAUAGGGACUUCGAUUACGACCGUCGCCACAAGUGGGACGAGCGGUGCAUGCGGAUGAAGCGCUGGGUUCAGAGCGGCACCAUUGACGGCAAACACGCAUACUUUGACAGCAUCGUUGCCGAGUGGGAGCAGUAUGUGAACCGCCCAGAGCGCUUCCGUGCGCCAGACAGCGCCGAGCGCCGCUACGCAGCACCGCGAAUGGUACAGCUGUACCGUGCACUGAACCGCGUGAUGGAUGUGGCGCUUGCAGACCAGAUGAGGCAGACGAUCGAGAAGGGUCGCGACCUCAGCAAGAUGUCUGUCGAGGACGUGCAAAGGCGGCUCGCCGCGGCGGACUUCACCAACUUCCGGUUUGAGGUGCCCGUCAUUAUUUACCCUGACGGCGCCGCCCAGCCGCAGCUUGGUCUGAACGGCUGUUCUGUCGCCACCGCCGCCGCCUCCGCGACAGCGGCUGCGUAGAGGGCAGGUGAAAUCCACGUUGCUAAACCUGCUUGAAGAACGCUCCUUGUUUUCAUCGUUUUUUUUUCCACUGUUAUUGCGUUUUUUUUUUAGCGCUGCUUUAUAUUUUGUUGGAGGUCGUGCGUCUCCUCCUGGUGCGUUUGUGUCUUGGCAAUGAUUUGAUGCCCCGCCUUUGGGCAGGCGUCUUGUGUAUGCCUCUUUUUGUUUUCUUUCCCCCUUGUGCUUUUCAUGCCUCAGACUCUGUGCCUUAGGGUUGUGUUUCUGCUUAGUAGCAGCUUGCCGCGCGUACUGGGAUGUUUGCGUGUGACAGCUCACCCGCAAAGGGAGUACGCUGCUGAUGUGAAAGGGGGGAGGCAAGGCGGGAAGAGGGACGUGCAUGCUGACGCUGGGGGCGCUAGAGCACAUUAUCAGUAGGAGCUGCUCGAGCUGAUCUAGUGGGUGAAGAGUAUCUUAGGACCCGCAGAGGCAACAAAGCAAAGCCUGCACUUCUAGUCCUCGUUUCUCUCAUAUGCCGCUCACGGUCACUCGCAGCCGCUGAGGAGCGCGCACCACCGGCUCUUUGCCUCUCCCCUUCCCACUCUUGCAUAGGCUUGCGUAGAGAGACGAGGAUACCGUUCUUCCUCUUCGUGCGCUCCAUCGGUGCGGCACACCUAUGCCUCUUUUUGUUUUAGAUUCCGUCCUUCUCUCUUCUCCUCUCCAAUUUGGAGCAUCUCGCUCGCACGAGUUUCUUCUCACCGAUGGACCCCAUGCACGCGGCUGGGAGACAAGGCUGGGUUCUGUAUCCGUUAGGGAUGGCGAGGGAUGGGGAAGGUGAGAGAUACUGGAGGGUUGCUCCAUCUAGCGUAGAGGAGAGGGUGGAUUUUCCUGCAUUCAGGGAAGGUAGCCAGUAGCAAUAGUAGUUGCGAGACACGCCUGGUGGCGCCGAAGAUGGGCAUCGAGAACGAAACACAACGAGUGUUCAAAAAAAAAAGGCUCCGUAAUGUCGAGUGUAGCUGUCAUUCCUCUCUCGUGGUUCUACUUCGGGGACAUGUAGACACAGCAUGGAAGCCACGCGCUACAGCGAAGGCUGUUGACGCGUGUUUCGGGUCAAGGAGAACGCAGGGCAGUGCAUUUGCUUGGAAUGAAAAUGACGCUUCA
RNAcentral lists this unclassified non-coding RNA (3237 nucleotides) under Leishmania donovani. Its description in RNAcentral is "gene:LdHU3.19.0260(CDS-product:Complex_1_protein_ (LYR_family)/Complex1_LYR-like_putative)". The record is from RNAcentral. Lineage: Eukaryota; Euglenozoa; Kinetoplastea; Trypanosomatida; Trypanosomatidae.